UAAGAACGGCCAUGCACCACCACCCACAUAAUCAAGAAAGAGCUAUCAAUCUGUCAAUCCUUACUAUGUCUGGACCUGGUGAGUUUCCCCGUGUUGAGUCAAAUUAAGCCGCAGGCUCCACUCCUGGUGGUGCCCUUCCGUCAAUUCCUUUAAGUUUCAGUCUUGCGACCAUACUCCCCCUGGAACUCAAAGACUUUGAUUUCUCAAAAAAUGCCGAAGGAAUCAACAGGCAACCGCCUCCAAUUUCUUGGUAGCAUAGUUUAUGGUUAAGACUAGGACGGUAUCUAAUCGUCUUCGAUCCCCUAACUUUCGUUCUUGAUUAAAGAAGACAUCCUUGGCAAAUGCAUUCGCAUUAGUUUGUCUUUAACAAAUCCAAGAAUUUCACCUCUGACAGUUAAAUACAAAUGCCCCCAACCAUCCCCAUCAAUC
This 429-nucleotide ribosomal RNA is filed under the name uncultured dinoflagellate. RNAcentral describes it as "partial 18S rRNA". Lineage: Eukaryota; Dinophyceae. The record is from RNAcentral.